Molecule: ribosomal RNA, 445 nt
Filed under: uncultured bacterium
Lineage: Bacteria
Description: bacterial SSU rRNA
Rfam family: Bacterial small subunit ribosomal RNA
Source: RNAcentral
GCAUAACGCGAAGAACCUUACCUGGGCUUGAACUGUCGGUAUAGGGACCCGAAAGGGCGACGACCCCGGGCAACCGGGAAGCCGAUAGAGGUGCUGCAUGGCUGUCGUCAGCUCGUGUCGUGAGAUGUUGGGUUAAGUCCCGCAACGAGCGCAACCCUUGUCUUUAGUUGCCAGCGAGUCAUGUCGGGCACUCUAAGGAGACUGCCUCGGAUAACGAGGAGGAAGGUGGGGAUGACGUCAAGUCAGCAUGGCCUUUAUGUCCAGGGCUACACACGUGCUACAAUGGGCGGCACAGAAGGACGCGAGACCGCGAGGUCAAGCCAACCCUUAAAACCGUUCUCAGUUCGGAUUGCAGGCUGCAAUUCGCCUGCAUGAAGUCGGAAUCGCUAGUAAUCGCGGAUCAGCUACGCCGCGGUGAAUACGUUCUCGGGUCUUGUACACACCG